RNAcentral lists this long non-coding RNA (470 nucleotides) under Drosophila guanche. The record is from RNAcentral. Lineage: Eukaryota; Metazoa; Arthropoda; Insecta; Diptera; Drosophilidae.
GAACAUAUAGACAAUUGAGAAGCUUUUUCCUGAGUUUUUAAAAACAAAAAUGUUACAAAAUACCGCAGGAAAGGUAAAAGUUUUGAAUUUCAAAGUUUAAUCCUAGUUCUCAGAUGCGCUACAUAUUCUGUCGACAAAAAAUUCCAUAUGUUUCGCUUCCCAGUAUGACCGAAUUGGGCAAAAGAUAUACUGCAUAGACAAUAUGCGGACUCUACUUGCAAGUACACUCUACGUUUGCCUUUUUUCUGCUUGCAUACAAAAUAAAAUCUGAUAAAAAUUCAAAUGUCGUGUGAAAGCAAUGUGGAGAUUGAAAGACAAGAAUGCAGGGAUUCCGUUCCAGCGGGAUAUAAAUGGUAGACGAUAGAACUAUGGUAUUUUCCAAUAUGGAAAAACACCGUCCGUUGUUUUUGAUUACUCAAUAGCUAGCUGCUAAAUGUUAUAAUAUUUUUCGCAAAAUGCCACAGAACAAU